GAUGAACGCUGGCGGCGUGCCUAAUACAUGCAAGUCGAGCGGACAGACGAGGCUCUUGCUCCUCGGACGUUAGCGGCAGGCGGGAGAGUAACACGUGGAUCACCUCCCUAUAUGAGUGGUAUAUCUUCGGGACAGCGGAGCUAAUACGGGAUAAUCUAUUGAAGCGCGGGGGGCAUUAGUAAAAGACGGUUUUGCGGGCUCUUAUAGCUGCUUACGCGCCGGAUGGGCUAGUUGGUGAGGUAAAGGGUUACCAAGGCUAGUAUGCGUAGCCGACCGGAGAGGGGGAUCGGCCACACUGGAAGUGAGACGCGGUCAAGAGGCCUGCGGGAGGCACCAGAAGGGAAUCGGCCGCAAUGGGGGAAAGCAUGACGGAGCAACGCCGCGUGAGUGAUGAAGGUGCUCGGAGCGGAAAAAUCUGUUAUUGGGUAAGAACAAAUGUGUAAGGAACUAAGCACGUCUUGACGGUACCUAAUCAGAAAGCCACGGCUAACUACGUG
Molecule: ribosomal RNA, 497 nt
Filed under: uncultured bacterium
Lineage: Bacteria
Description: partial 16S ribosomal RNA
Rfam family: Bacterial small subunit ribosomal RNA
Source: RNAcentral